UUUUAAUUUGCCGCCUCUCUCUCUGUACCUAGGCUAUGCCUCAUCGCCUCCCUCAUCUAUACACCACUAUACACCACUAGAGCACCAUUUGCUCUAUGAUCAUCUAAAAAAGCGAAACAGAUGAGAGAGUACACGAGUGAGAUCGAGAAGGAGGGUGAUGUAGUGGUGUUGGAGAUCUGUUGGCGGCGAUAUAGGUGAUGCUACGGCGGUAUUAGGACUGCACACCGAUUGUGACCCGGUGGUCUGAAGGUGUGAUUAUUAUUCUUUUUUAUAUUUUUUCUUCUAGUUCAUGUUUCGAAAAAAGAUCGAUAGUGCUAAUGGUACGUUUUUGAUUAUGUAUACUUGAGAUUUGAUUUUCAUAUGCCAAUUUUGUUGAAACGAUUCUGUUUGAAUGAAGAUUAAAUUGGUUCUGUGGAAAUGGAGAACGAUGAAGAGAUUGAUGAGAUCUUCAUCUUUAUCGACACACCGCCAGAAAUUGAGAAUCAGUAUCUCUGAUUAAUUUGGAUCCUAGUAAUUCCAUAUAUUGUAUAUCUUGAUACCAUCAUCAUAAGUGUCGCUCACAACCAGAAGGGAGUGGAAUUAGCAUCUCGACGUUAUAGCUGGAAGACAUUUAUCUUGUUUUAGAAACAUAGUUUACUGGGUUAUAUAAAAUCAUGGAUUCAGGUUGCAGGUGAAGCAGUUGAAGUGGGAAAUUGAUAAUGAAGAACAUCAAGGAUAAUAACUUUAAUUCAUCUACAAAUUUUAAUUUUCAUCCGGUACAUCAUGAGGAUUUGGUCGAUUUUAUCCCCAUACUUGUUCAAUCAUGCAAAAUAGAUUCAUCUUCUUCUUCCUUGCUAAUUUUUCCCUAAUUUUCGAGGUUUUCCCUUACAUGUAUGUAACUAGAAAGUGGAAUGUUUAUGCUUGGAAUGUUUGAGUCCCUAGUUUUUGAGUAAUAAUAAAUUAUUAAAUGUGUAGUUUUCUAGUUUUUUGCCCUAAUUUUUUAGUGACUAUAAAUGAUUCGGUUGUUAGUUUUCCG
Molecule: long non-coding RNA, 1015 nt
Filed under: Lactuca sativa (garden lettuce)
Lineage: Eukaryota; Viridiplantae; Streptophyta; Magnoliopsida; Asterales; Asteraceae
Description: long non-coding RNA (LSAT_LNC001657)
Source: RNAcentral